AAUGAACGCUGGCGGCGUGCCUAACACAUGCAAGUCGAGCGAGAAAGUCUCUUCGGAGAUAAGUACAGCGGCGGACGGUGAGUAACGCGUGAGAAUUUACCCUUUAGUGAAGAAUACCUCUGAGAAAUCAGGGUUAAUACUGCAUACGUCCCUACGGGGAGAGAGGUGGCCUCUUUGCUGCCGCUAAAGGAUAAGCUUGCGUACUAUUAGCUAGUUGGUGAGGUAAAGGCUCACCAAGGCGAUGAUGGUUAGCCGGCCUGAGAGGGUGUACGGCCACACUGGAACUUAGACACGGUCCAGACUCCUACGGGAGGCAGCAGUGAGGAAUAGUGCGCAAUGGGCGAAAGCCUGACGCAGCGACGCCGCGUGGAGGAUGAAGGUCUUCGGAUUGUAAACUCCUGUUAAGUGGGAAGAAAGACCUAUUUCUAAUACAGAUAGGGGAUGACGGUACCAUUAGAGAAAGACACCGGCUAACUUACGUGCCAGCAGCCGCCGGUAAU
Molecule: ribosomal RNA, 500 nt
Filed under: uncultured bacterium
Lineage: Bacteria
Description: bacterial SSU rRNA
Rfam family: Bacterial small subunit ribosomal RNA
Source: RNAcentral